This 778-nucleotide ribosomal RNA is filed under the name uncultured Neocallimastigales. RNAcentral's name for it is "partial large subunit ribosomal RNA". It matches the Rfam family "Eukaryotic large subunit ribosomal RNA", at positions 23 to 643 of the family's 3401-position model. The record is from RNAcentral. Lineage: Eukaryota; Fungi; Neocallimastigomycota; Neocallimastigomycetes; Neocallimastigales.
AGAGAUGUGUGAUGACGCAUAUCAAUAAGCGGAGGAAAAGAAACUAACAAGGAUUCCCUUAGUAACGGCGAGUGAAGCGGGAAGAGCUCAAAUUUGAAAUCUUCAAGGUUCUACCUUGACGAAUUGUAGUUUAUAGAAGUGUUUUCUGUUAGUAGAGUGGCAAAAGUUCUUUGGAAUAGGACAUCAUAGAGGGUGAGAAUCCCGUAUUUGGACCAUUAUUUCCUAGCUUUGUGAUACACUUUCAAAGAGUCGGAUUGUUUGGGAAUGCAGUCCAAAAUGGGUGGUAAAUUUCAUCUAAAGCUAAAUAUUGGCGAGAGACCGAUAGCGAACAAGUACCGUGAGGGAAAGAUGAAAAGAACUUUGAAAAGAGAGUUAAACAGUACGUGAAAUUGUCAAAAGGGAAGCGUUUGACACCAGUGUUGUUUUUCCGAAAAUCAAUUACGAAUGUUUUAUUUUUGAGAAGUUAUGACUUCAUCGGCUUGCUUCUCUCUUUAUGAAACUUUCUUAAUGCACUUUUCGGUUAACAAGUCAACAUCAAUUUCUUUUGUUGUAAAAGGGUAUGAGGAAGGUGGCUUUCUUUUCGGAGAAAGUGUUUAUAGCCUUGUACCUCUGCAAUCGGAGAGAUUGAGGUCUGCAGCGUAGAUCCUUCGGGGUUAGAUACAUUUGUGCUAAGUUAUAGCCUUUCAGUAGACAACUUGUUGACUAUGAUCAGUCAUGUAGCUUACUCGCUUAUGUCUAUUUUACCUACGCUUAGGAUGUUGAAGAUGUAGCACAUCAU